This 75-nucleotide transfer RNA is filed under the name Thiothrix caldifontis. Its description in RNAcentral is "tRNA_Undet_???". It matches the Rfam family "tRNA". Rfam says of the family: Transfer RNA (tRNA) molecules are approximately 80 nucleotides in length. Lineage: Bacteria; Pseudomonadati; Pseudomonadota; Gammaproteobacteria; Thiotrichales; Thiotrichaceae. The record is from RNAcentral.
UCACUAUAGCUCAGUCUGGUAGAGCACUGGAUCUGGUAUCUGGUUGUCGCCGGUUCAACUCCGGCUAGUGAACUA